Molecule: long non-coding RNA, 4383 nt
Filed under: Brassica napus (rape)
Lineage: Eukaryota; Viridiplantae; Streptophyta; Magnoliopsida; Brassicales; Brassicaceae
Description: long non-coding RNA (BNAP_LNC008252)
Source: RNAcentral
GUUUGGGGAAAGAGCCAUCAAAGUCCACACAGUCAACAACCAUGACUACAACUGUAGUACUUGAGUUCCUACUCAUUGGUUUUAUCAGUCUAGUUGAGAUCAUUCUAUCGAAAUCGAAAUCAGGUAAGAGAUUCUCAGCAGCUUGGUUCUUCACUUGGCCGUAGUUUCUCAGAGAAUGGCAACGAGCACAUACUGUUACAUCAUCAUCAUCUUUAUCCUUCUUGGCUUCCUCUCUAGCUAGCUUCUUCCUCUCUGAUUUCGAAACUCGUUUCUUCUCGACCAUCUCCUCUGUUACAUUACCGUAUCCAACACCAGCUGGAGCAAAGCCAUCUAGCUCAACAUCGUUUCCUUCCUCCUUCUCUUCCCACUCAUCUGACUCCCAGUCAAACUCAUCCUCACUCUCAGAGUCACUACUCUCUAAUACAUUCGUGACAUCAUCAUCCACAUCAUCCUCCUCAUCAUCAUCAUCAACCAUUUCAAACCCAUCAAGCUCAUCUUCAGCCACCUCCUCCAAGCUCUUUACAACGACCUUUCUCUUCUGAUAAUACCCGGGCGAAUCAGAAUCACUGUCCUGCAUAAAAAUCCCACAACCUGGACAGACAAGCUUCCCAUACUCCUCAUCUUCAUCUCUCCCUUCACUCAUCAUUGCCUUCUUGGGAAAGAUUGUCCCUUUAACUCUCUCCACGCUUUCAACAACUUGCUCUUUCUUCACAGCUAAACACUUCACAACACAUGUCUUCUUCUUCCUCUUCGUCUCACUCAACCCUAUUGAAAAAGUUGAGACCUUUCCUCAGAAUCCCAUCACCAAAACGAGUCUCAACAAAGAAGAGAGAAUAUUACCUGAGAAAAAUUGAAAGUCCGGUCUGGGUAUGAACCGGUUAACGCUAAAGCUUGCGUCUUUAAGCUUUGGCUUUACUCUGCAAAUGUUCACUGUACUUGAAAUCAAAACCACCAUCUUCGUUUCAGCAGACUUGUGAAGAAAUCGCGCCGGGAUAAGCCAACUCCGAGUGAGAGCCAAAAACGCAGCGUAUUGGCUCGAACUUUCGAUACUUCAAAACUUUACAACUCUAAACCCUACAAGUAAUUACGUAAACACCCUUCAAACUAUAUCUUUUAUGUUUUGUAAUGGACUCGUAUAAUUAAUUGUCUUUUCUUAUACGUGGAAUACGUUAAAGACUCAAACUUUAAAACAGAGACGAUAAGGUUGGGAGACCCAUCACGCGGACAAGAACUGAGCUUAAACCCCAUUUGAUAACUUUUGUGGGAGCUCCGACGAACAAAAAUGGCGGCAAAGUUUAUAGGCGGAGGCUGUUCAUGGCGGCGCUUUUCAGGAAACUUGGACAAGAGAGCAGCAACAGCAUCAUCUCGAGUUCUUAUCUUCUCUGUUCGGUCCUCUCAUUCCAUGGAUGACAUGGACACUGUCUAUAAGCAAUUGGGUAUCUCUCCUCUUCAUCUAAAUAUUGUGUCAUUGACCUGAAGCUGAUGAGUCUUCAUAUAAAGUUGGGAGCUUUAAGCUUUUGAAAAGUGUAUUUUUUUUUUUGUGAAUUUUGCUUUGGUAUUUGUGUAAAAAUCUUGUUUUAAAAUUUGGUCUCAGGACUGUUCUCACUAAAGAAGAAGAUCAAAGAUGUUGUUCUCAAGGCGGAGAUGUUAGCACCUGAUGCUCUUGAGCUAGAAGAAGAGCAAUGGAUUAAGCAAGAAGAGACAUUGCGUUACUGUGACUUAUGGGAUGAUCCAACCAAAUCUGAUGAGAUUUUUCUCAAGCUAGCUGCUCGUGCCAAAGCAGUUGAUACUCUCAAAGACCUCAAGUACAAGGUUCUUUUUGGUUUUACUUCAAACAACUCUUCUUCAUUUGCAAGACGUUUAGUUUUGAGUGUGUUUUUGUUGAUUAGGCCGAAGAAGCUAAGCUAAUCAUACAGUUAGAUGAGAUGGAUGCUAUAGACUACAGUCUUUUUGAGCAAGCUUAUGAUUCAUCCCUCGAUGUGAGCAGAUCCUUGCAUCACUAUGAGAUGUCUAAGCUUCUUAGUGAUCAGUAUGACUCUGAAGGAGCGUGUAUGGUUAUCAAAUCUGGAGCUCAUGACACAAAAUCUCAAGUCAGUUUCAACAUUCUCAAGAACCUUUCUGUCUUUACUUUCUAUAUGUUCUUAUAACAUUUUUUUGAUGAUUUGCAGAUGUGGACAGAACAAAUUGUAAGCAUGUACAUCAAGUGGGCAGAGAAGCUAGGCCAAAACGCAAGAGUGGCUGAGACCUUGAGGAAUAGAAAUGGCGUGAGUUCAGCCACAAUAGAGUUUGAAUUCGAGUUUGCUUAUGGCUAUCUCUUAGGUGAGAGAGGCGUGCACCGUCUUAUCACAAGUUCUACAACCAGUGAGGUAUAUAUAUUAUGCUUCUCAUGAUGAAUCAACUCUCCAUUUGUUAAAGAGCUAAGAAGAUGUUUUCUUUGUGAUAGGUUUCUUCAGCGUCUGUAGAGAUCAUACCGCUGUUCUUGAGAGCUUCUCCUGAUUUUGAAGUGAAGGAUGAGGAUUUGGUUGUAACGUAUCCUGCAAAAGAGAAUCAUAAACUAGCUGAGCAGAUGGUUCGUAUUCAGCAUCUUCCGAGUGGCAUAACUGUAGAAUCUUCAGGUAUUCUUGAGUUGUGUAACACUUUGGUUAAGUGCAUUUUGUGCAAGAUUAUGAUAUAAGAUAUGUUUUGAUGCAGGAGAAAGAAACCGGUUUGCUAAUAGGAUCAAAGCUCUAAACCGGUUAAAGGCAAAGCUGCUUGUGAUAGCUAAAGAACAGAAGGUUUCAGAUGUGUAUAAAAUCAACGGCAAGAACAUUGUGGAGCCAUGGAGAGUAGAAGAAACCAGGAGAUAUGUCUCUAAAGGUCAGAAGAUGGUGGUUGAUUUGAAAACCGGUUUAGAGAUUUUGGACCUUAAAUCGGUUUUGGAUGGGAACAUUGGGCCACUUCUUGGAGCUCAUAUUGGCAUGAGAAGAUCCAUUGAUGCCAUUUAAUUAAUUGAGGCUUUUUUGUUGUACACAUAAAAUAGUCAAACCACUACAAGAAAACGUAACUUUAACAAGGAAGUUUAACGAGGAAAAAUAAUCCUCGUAAAAAAACGUUGAUUUUGCGAGGAAAGUACGUUGAGAAAGAAAAGCAUCGUUAUUUCGUCGUAAGUUAACGACAAAAAAUAUUCGUCGUAAAGACGAUGUAAAUUGACGUGGCUUUUACGAGGAAAUAGUUUUUCCUCGUAAAAUCCACGUAAAUUUCGCGAGUGCUUUACGACGAAAUAUUUUACGUGUACUUAACGAGGAAAUUUUGAAUCCACCAACUUGGUAGGUGGCUCACGUUUUUUUUUUGGCCAUACAAUUAAUUUUCGUCGUAAUUUCAUAGUAAAAUUACAACUACCAGAUUCGAAAUUUUCUAUAAAUAUGGAUGUUGGAACAUCAUUUUAAACACACCAACAACAAAAAACGUGAAAGAAAAAAAAAUGGCUGGCUCUGGGACUAUUUACGAGUUGCGGAAUUGGAUGUAUAUGCAUAGAGAUGCUAACGGGAGAGUGACGAAAGAAUACCUUGCGGGAUAGAAAAACUUUAUAUAUAAGUAAAAGAGGGCUUGCCUUGACUCUGUAAGACCGAGGUUGAAGCUCCUUCCUAAUCUCCACCAUUUUCCGCUCCUCCGAGUUCAAUCUAAGAGACAUAAUGUAAGGAUGCAAAAGACCAGGAGUGUCAUACAUCUUCGCCUUUGCAGACAACACUCCACCAAUCCUCAAUAUCCCCAGAGUUGUUCCAGGAACCGGAGCCUCCGUGAGCCUCGUGACCUUUGCACCGUCUUUCUUGGAGAAGGCAUUGAUCAAAGUAGACUUCCCAGCAUUCUGAGCUCCAAUAACCCACACGUUUCCUCUAGGACCAGCCAGUUCCUUGAUGUAAGCUAACAGGUUCUUGAUACCAAGAUCUUUCCUAGCACUGACCAUAUACACACCACUCAGCCUAGGCGCUCCUCCAGCCUUGGCACGAUGGCGCACCCAUCUGUCUAACCUCGCUGGUGAAAUCUGCGAUGGGAGUAAGUCUACUUUUGUAGCAACGAGCACGAGUUUGGGUAGGUUCUUGCCCACCUUAGGAUCGUUCUCAGCCUUCUGAAGCGCCUUGAACAAAGAGUUUGCUGCUCGUUUGGGGAAAGAGCCAUCAAAGUCCACACAGUCAACAACCAUGACUACAACUGUAGUACUUGAGUUCCUACUCAUUGGUUUUAUCAGUCUAGUUGAGAUCAUUCUAUCGAAAUCGAAAUCAGGUAAGAGAUUCUCAGCAGCUUGGUUCUUCACUUGGCCGUAGUUUCUCAGAGAAUGGCAACGAGCACAUACUGUUACAUCAUCAUCAUCUUUAUCCUUCUUGGCUUCCUCUCUAGCUAGCUUCU